UCCCUGUUAGCUCAGAUGGUAAAAAAAUCUGCCUCCUAGGCAGGAGACCCGGGUUUGAUCCCUGGACUGGGAA
Molecule: transfer RNA, 73 nt
Filed under: Bos taurus (domestic cattle)
Lineage: Eukaryota; Metazoa; Chordata; Mammalia; Artiodactyla; Bovidae
Also listed under: 1 other name
Rfam family: tRNA
About the family: Transfer RNA (tRNA) molecules are approximately 80 nucleotides in length. Their secondary structure includes four short double-helical elements and three loops (D, anti-codon, and T loops).
Source: Rfam by way of RNAcentral